This 494-nucleotide ribosomal RNA is filed under the name uncultured bacterium. RNAcentral describes it as "partial 16S ribosomal RNA". It matches the Rfam family "Bacterial small subunit ribosomal RNA", at positions 28 to 507 of the family's 1533-position model. The record is from RNAcentral.
GACGAACGCUGGCGGCGUGCUUAACACAUGCAAGUCGAACGGUGAAGCGCCUUCCUUUUUGGUGGGUGUGGAUGAGUGGCGAACGGGUGAGUAACACGUGAGUAACCUGCCCCCUUCUUCUGGAUAACCGCAUGAAAGUGUGGCUAAUACGGGAUAUUCUGGGUCUGUCGCAUGAUGGGUCUGGGAAAGAUAUUGUUUCGGUGGGGGAUGGGCUCGCGGCCUAUCAGCUUGUUGGUGGGGUGAUGGCCUACCAAGGCGGUGACGGGUAGCCGGCCUGGGAGGGUGGACGGCAACACUGGGACGGAGACACGGCCCAGACUCCUACGGGAGGCAGCAGUGGGGAAUAUUGCACAAUGGGCGCAAGCCUGAUGCAGCGACGCCGCGUGAGGGAUGGAGGCCUUCGGGUUGUGAACCUCUUUCGCCAGUGAGGCAGGCCUGCCUCGUUUGUGGGUGGGUUGACGGUAGCUGGAGAAGAAGCGCCGGCUAACUACGUG